RNAcentral lists this ribosomal RNA (301 nucleotides) under uncultured bacterium. Its description in RNAcentral is "partial 16S ribosomal RNA". It matches the Rfam family "Bacterial small subunit ribosomal RNA", at positions 509 to 807 of the family's 1533-position model. The record is from RNAcentral.
CAGUAGCCGCGGUAAUACGGAGGGAGCUAGCGUUGUUCGGAAUUACUGGGCGUAAAGCGCACGUAGGCGGCUAUUCAAGUCAGAGGUGAAAGCCCGGGGCUCAACCCCGGAACUGCCUUUGAAACUAGAUAGCUUGAAUCCAGGAGAGGUGAGUGGAAUUCCGAGUGUAGAGGUGAAAUUCGUAGAUAUUCGGAAGAACACCAGUGGCGAAGGCGGCUCACUGGACUGGUAUUGACGCUGAGGUGCGAAAGCGUGGGGAGCAAACAGGAUUAGAUACCCCGGUAGUCCCUGUCUCUUAUAC